CCUACGGGAGGCAGCAGUGAGGAAUAUUGGUCAAUGGCCGCAAGGCUGAACCAGCCAAGCCGCGUGAAGGACGAAGGUGCCAAGCAUUGUAAACUUCUUUUGUCAGGGGGCAAAAUCAGCCUCGAGAGCCUUACCGAGGGUACUUGAAGAAAAAGCAUCGGCUAACUCCGUGCCAGCAGCCGCGGUAAUACGGAGGAUGCGAGCGUUAUCCGGAUUUAUUGGGUUUAAAGGGUGCGUAGGCGGACGGUCAAGUCAGCGGUAAAAGCGCGGGGCUCAACCCCGGCGAGCCGUUGAAACUGGUUGUCUUGAGAGGGCGAGAGGUAUGCGGAAUGCGUGGUGUAGCGGUGAAAUGCUUAGAUAUCGCGCAGAACUCCGAUUGCGAAGGCAGCAUACCGGCGGUGAUCUGACGCUGAGGCACGAAAGCGUGGGUAUCGAACAGGAUUAGAUACCCUAGUAGUC
This 459-nucleotide ribosomal RNA is filed under the name uncultured bacterium. RNAcentral describes it as "partial 16S ribosomal RNA". It matches the Rfam family "Bacterial small subunit ribosomal RNA", at positions 338 to 795 of the family's 1533-position model. The record is from RNAcentral.